GGGUGGUAGAGGGCUGACAGCAAAGGUGUCUGUCUGAACUGAUUAAUAUCUGUGGGUUAGGGUGGUAGAGGGCUGACAGCAGAGGUGUCUGUCUGAACUGAUAAAUAUCUCUGGGUUAGGGUGGUAGAGGGCUGACAGCAAAGGUGUCUGUCUGAACUGAUUAAUAUCUGUGGGUUAGGGUGAUAGAGGGCUGACAACAGAGGUGUCUGUCUGGAUUUUUAACAGUCCUUUACCGGCCUGGACUCUUUUAGGCCCGAGGUACAGGACAUUUCUGGAGGAACCAGAACUCAUUGUGUUAUAUUGUUAUGUGUGUGUGAUCAUUUGUUGGUAAUACAACCCACGCAAAAUAAUAUUGUUUUUGAAGUUCUUUCCAAUGUUUUAAGGGUUUAUGAAAAGUUUAUUUCCAUCCUGACUUUUACAUAUAAGUCCUUUUGUAUUGGUGUAGACUUGACGGACCAGAUGGGACUCAUUCCCUCCCAAACCAAAAGGAGAAACCAAUGUUUUCUCUGGUAGGCACAACCUACCUGGCACCCCUAUAAACAAUAACCUCAAGUCAAAACCCUUACAGUGCAGUAAUAUCUAACAAUUUCACAACAUAUACACACAAAUCUAAGUAAAGGAUUGGAAUAUAGAAAUAUAUGGAUGAGUAAUGUCAGAGCGGCAUAGACUAAGAGUGUGUAGAUGAGUAAUGCAAGAUAUGUAAACAUUAUUAAAGUGACUAGUGAUCCAUUUAUUAAAUUGCCCAAUGAUUUCGAGUCUGUGUAGGCAGCAGCCUCUCCGUGCUAGUGAUGGCUGUUCAACAGUCUGAUGGCCUUGAGAUAGGUGUUUUUCAGUCUCUCGGUCCCUGCUUUGAUGCACCUGUACUGACCUCGCCUUCUGGUUGAUAGCGGGGUGAACAGGCAGUGGCUCGGGUGGUUGUUGUCCUUGAUAUUUUUGUCCUUCCUGUGACAUCUGGUGGUGUAGGUGUCCUGGAGGGCAGGUAGUUUGUCCCGGUGAUGCGUUGUGCAGACCUCACUACACUCUGGAGAGCCCUACGGUUGUGGGAGGUGCAGUUUCUGUACCAAGCGGUGAUACAGCCCGACAGGAUGCUCUCAAUUGUGUAUCUGUAAAAGUUUCUGAGGGUUUUAGGUGCUAAGCUGUUGCACCUUCACCACACUGUGUGGGUGGAACAUUUCAUUUUGUCAGUGAUGUGAUGCCUAGGAACUUGAAGCUUUCCACCUUCUCCACUGCGGUCCUGU
This is a long non-coding RNA of Oncorhynchus tshawytscha (Chinook salmon), 1238 nucleotides long. The record is from Ensembl. NCBI's taxonomy places the organism in Eukaryota, Metazoa, Chordata, Actinopteri, Salmoniformes, Salmonidae.